RNAcentral lists this small RNA (27 nucleotides) under Bombyx mori (domestic silkworm). RNAcentral describes it as "ovarian small RNA-36426". Lineage: Eukaryota; Metazoa; Arthropoda; Insecta; Lepidoptera; Bombycidae. The record is from RNAcentral.
UUACACUGGUAACUGUUCGAUUCCUAA